CCCUUAGAUGUUCUGGGCCGCACGCGCGCUACACAGAUGCAUUCAACAAGCCUAGCCUUGACCGAGAGGUCCGGGUAAUCUUUGAAACUGCAUCGUGAUGGGGCUAGAUUAUUGCAAUUAUUAAUCUUCAACGAGGAAUACCUAGUAAGCGUGAUUCAUCAAAUCGCGUUGAUUACGUCCCUGCCCUUUGUACACACCGCCCGUCGCUCCUACCGAUUGAAUGUGUUGGUGAGGAGCUCGGAUUGGCAGCAGUUGGUGGUUCGCCACCGGCUAUUGCUGAGAAGUCCUCCAAACCGCCCCAUUUAGAGGAAGGAGAAGUCGUAACA
Molecule: ribosomal RNA, 326 nt
Filed under: uncultured eukaryote
Lineage: Eukaryota
Description: partial 18S ribosomal RNA
Rfam family: Eukaryotic small subunit ribosomal RNA
Source: RNAcentral